RNAcentral lists this ribosomal RNA (119 nucleotides) under Pteropus alecto (black flying fox). Lineage: Eukaryota; Metazoa; Chordata; Mammalia; Chiroptera; Pteropodidae. The record is from RNAcentral.
GUCUACAGCCAUGCCACCCUGAACCUGCCUGAACUCAUCUGAUCUUGGAAGAUAAGCAGGGUCGGGCCUGAUUUGUGCUUGGAUGGGAGACCACCUUGGAAUACCAUGUGCUGUAGACA